Molecule: long non-coding RNA, 1087 nt
Filed under: Citrus sinensis (sweet orange)
Lineage: Eukaryota; Viridiplantae; Streptophyta; Magnoliopsida; Sapindales; Rutaceae
Description: long non-coding RNA (CSIN_LNC001805)
Source: RNAcentral
AUAAAACAAAUGCACGUGAUUUGAUAUUAUAUAGCUUGGGACCAUUAUACUUGAAGACAAGAAUAAAACAUUCUCUUUCAACAGCAGUGUGCUCAUCAAGAGAUUAUACUCAUAUGCAAAUCAUCAUAUUCAACUAAACCUAUUAAAUAUUUCCUUUGACUACGAUACAUAUACACACACGAAAAUACAAAGCCAGAAAUUAGAUGUUAUACAUAAUAACUGAACAGUAUAUGCUGCAAUCAUUAUCAUAAACCAUACAUACUAAUAUACAAUAAAUCAUGAUUGGUACAUUAAGUCACUCUUGGCCUCGUACAAUAUUGCAUGAUGAUGAAAGUGUAGACGACAUAAAAUCACACCUUCAUCAUCAUCUUGCUAACAUACAAGUACUUACGACCCACUACCAUAAGGUGCAUGUCCCACUAUUACAUAUAUGGUCUACGUAUCGUACGUACUCUUGACGUACAAGAUUUUUUGGCAAAAAAUAACCUCUCAUGACUGCUAGCUUUGUUUCUAGUAAAUUAUAUAUAUAUAUAUAUAUAUAUAUAGAAUAAUUAAAUAAAUUAUGGAGAGUUUAUUCAUGCAGCUGGAGCAUAAUCGUAAUCCCCAUCAUCGUCGUCGCCGUCACCUUCAACGCAUGCUGCCAGGACAUACUCAUAUCCAUCUUCACCCUCAUCAUAUCCAUCUCCAUACUUCUUGCACCAUGAUGAGGGCACAAUGACCUUUGAAAUGAGAGACAUUUUUAGAAUGGCUUAUGGAGAUGGCUAGCAAAGAGAGAGAGCAACUAAAACAAAAACUUGUGAGCUUUUAGUUAUCUGGUGAUUUUUGUCGAGUUUGAAGUGGAAACGAGAGGAGACUUGCUAAUAUAGGAGGAGGGAAGGUGGCUUACAUCGUUUAGGCUCGGGAACACCACGUGAGGAGUGUGGAGAGGUGCAUUAAGUGUGUGACGGACAAAUGCCGAUGCCAGCUGGCACCAUUUGGUCCAACCACAUAGGACUCUCAACGCCAACUCAGCAAGCACAUGUUAAAGUGGUGAGAUGAUGUGUCAUAAAGCACCUCUUAGCGCAUUGAAGGGUCAUAUACAAAUUGC